Molecule: long non-coding RNA, 325 nt
Organism: Podarcis raffonei (Aeolian wall lizard)
Lineage: Eukaryota; Metazoa; Chordata; Lepidosauria; Squamata; Lacertidae
Exons: 3
Source: RefSeq, a predicted model, not a curated record
GUCACUGACAAAUACUGACUAAUUGAGGAACUUAUACUGCCUUGGGCUUCUGACUUUUUCCAAACAUUUAACAGUUAUGAAAUCAAUGGAUAUACUGAGGUAAUCAAAGAUACAGUAGCCCCGUCUGCCUACCUGGGGUCUGAUAGUUGAGCGAGACCAUCUGGCAUCCAGCGUUCCAGAAAAUUUGAGGCAUGUAAUUGCUAGAAUCCACUCUUCCUCCCUUCGGAAUCGUCCACAGCCUAAGGAAAAAAUACAUAUAUUAUCCAAAGAAGUUGCAGUAUGACACUCAUAUCUCAAAGGCAGAGAAAGCAGGACGCAAGAGAAA